RNAcentral lists this ribosomal RNA (349 nucleotides) under uncultured bacterium. RNAcentral describes it as "bacterial SSU rRNA". It matches the Rfam family "Bacterial small subunit ribosomal RNA", at positions 28 to 363 of the family's 1533-position model. The record is from RNAcentral.
GACGAACGCUGGCGGCGUGCUUAACACAUGCAAGUCGAACGGGGUGUUUAUUUCGGUAAACACCAAAUGGCGAACGGGUGAGUAACGCGUAAGCAAUCUACCUUCAAGAUGGGGACAACACUUCGAAAGGGGUGCUAAUACCGAAUGAAUGUAAGAGUAUCGCAUGAGACACUUACUAAAGGAGGCCUCUGAAAAUGCUUCCGCUUGAAGAUGAGCUUGCGUCUGAUUAGCUAGUUGGUGAGGGUAAAGGCCCACCAAGGCGACGAUCAGUAGCCGGUCUGAGAGGAUGAACGGCCACAUUGGGACUGAGACACGGCCCAGACUCCUACGGGAGCAGCAGUGGGGAAUC